Non-coding RNA from Gossypium hirsutum (cotton), 107 nucleotides. NCBI's taxonomy places the organism in Eukaryota, Viridiplantae, Streptophyta, Magnoliopsida, Malvales, Malvaceae. The record is from Rfam.
AAUCCAUGGUGAGGGCACCUUCUUAGUAAGCCCUUGUAUCUCUCCCAUUCAUCAUAAAGUGUUUCUAAAUCCAUCUGCACAAAAGAAGAUAUAUCAUUCCUCAGCUU